This is a long non-coding RNA of Hemicordylus capensis (graceful crag lizard), 2243 nucleotides long. RefSeq lists it as uncharacterized. The record is from RefSeq and is a predicted model, not a curated record. The transcript is spliced from 3 exons. Lineage: Eukaryota; Metazoa; Chordata; Lepidosauria; Squamata; Cordylidae.
CCUUAUGACCUUUCAGGAGAAUACAAACUGAACAUAUGGAGAUGUAGCUGAGCAGGGCAAAAGAAAGGGGGGUGCUGGCUUGUUUGAUAAACACUCAAUAUCAUCCACACAGAAGUGAAAGUUUCAAAUAACAAACACGCAAAUUGCAGAGAACCAGUCGAGCGUGGCUUCAAUAAAUUAAGUGUUGUAAAUGAGAGAUAAAGCCCACUGCAUGCCCUGGUGGAGGAAUAUGAACUACACAAGUCAAAGUCAAGUGGCUAUUCCGGAUACUCGCCGUUUCGCAGACAAAGCUUCAUCAGCCUCCUAAGCAUCAUUAAUACUGGUACCUCAUUCCUAGAGCUAAAUAAAGCCUUACAGUAUUAUCCGGCAUGAUUGGCUGAGGCACACCCAGGAGGAUUGGUCGCCACAGCAGCGGGCCUGGUCGCAGAGGCCAGAGGUGGUGGCAGGCCCGGCCCGCCCAUAGAGGCAAGGCCCAGGAGGGGGGAAAGAAAGUGUGGGGGCAGAAGUGGCAUUGGGGAGGAGAGGUGGCUGGGCCCGGAAAUGGAGACUGUGACAGAACACGGGGUAACCACUGGCCCCAAGGAGCACACAGAUACUCUGUGAGGGGUUGGCUAGUCUUUAUAUAUACAAGGAUAGCAGGCAGGGGUCUGCAAAAAGAUGGGUCAUGAGGGAGGAAAGAGCCCCUUUAGGAGAAGGAGGCUGCCAUUGUGUGAAUUAGAGGAGGAAACAAGAUCUGUUAACUCAGGAAGGGAGAGAGAGAGAGAAAGAAAGAAAGAAAGAAAGAAAGAAAGAAAAGAAAAGAAGGGAGGGGAAAAGACAGAAGGGAAGAGUGAGUGGAGGAGAAGAGAGAAAUAAUGAAGGGCGAGAGAUGGGCCCAAGCCUGUCAGUGGCCUGAGGGGAGUGAGAAGCCAUGGCAUUGCCUAUUGGCAGCAAAGAAGGGCCCAGUCAAGCACUGCUGCAGUUUGGGGCUACCGAGGCCAUUAGCGGAGGGGUGGGGGUGGCAGGCAAGGGAUGGGACUGGGCCUGUCAGUGGCCUGAGGCGAUCGAGCGACCAUGGCAGCAGUGAAGAAGGACCCGAAUGGAGAAAUAAUUUUCAAAGACCACAGUAUGACAACACAAAAUCUCACACAAUGAGAACACAAAAGCAGCAGCCAACACUGUAACAGGCUGUAUAGUUGUCACCUUGAUGCAGAGAUAAGAACAUAAGAACAGCCCUGCUGGAUCAGACCCAAGGCCUAUCUGGUCCAGCAUCCUGUUUUGCACAGUGGCCCACCAGAUUUCUCUGAGAAGCCCACAGGCAAGAGGUGCCCACAGGCAUUGCCCUUUCUCCUGCUAUUGCUCCCCUGCAACUAGUAUUAAGAGGCACCUUUCCUCUGAGGCUGGAGGAGAAGAUUCAAUGGAACAGUGCACCAUCUACCACAGAGAGCCUUGUGAAUGGAAACUUCCUCCGUAAAUUGAAAUGAGAUAAACUGAAACCCCUUCCAUGUGAACGGAAAAAACUUUGGGAGUGCUCAGUCACAUAAGGGCCCGAUCUCCACAAUUCUUUCCUCUCCAAAAAUUAAAGAAGCACAUGAACCAAUCCUUCAUGCAAUUGGAUCUUCACAUGAAGGGCUCAGUUCACACUGCAGGCUCUCUGUGAGGGAGAAGGGAGGGACUUGUGCUUCUUUCCACCAUGUAAUUUCAGUACCACUCCUGGCUGAACAUAUGAACUGAGGCAAAGAGGCUUGAUGGUCAUUAAUUGUGAUGCUGCCAGUAAAACCUAAUUAUUUAUCAGUGUUUUAUUUCUGGAAACUGUGUGUGUGAAUUAUUGCUUCUCAAAGGUAUAGUACCUUGGACAUUUCUAUGAGCACCUAAUCAAGCUUGCAACUUUCUGACAUAAAAUGCUGAUGAGAAACCAGGUGUACAGGUGCAGUUUUGAUUUCUAGUCUCAUUCUUCUUGUCAUACAAUAUAUUCAUAUUUAUUUUGGAGGAAUUCAAAGAUGUACUUUAAGCUUUAAAAUAUUGCCAAUUGAGCUAUGCUAGUAAUUUUUAUAUUUGCUGGGUAUAUGAAGCAAUUCAUUUGUUGUCACCAACUUGACUUUGCAAUAACAGGGCAGCACAACGCUUUACAUUAUUGCAGAAAACUCUUCAGAACCAAUAAAUAAUGUAUUACUUCUUAAUUAUUUAAUAUUAUUUAGUAAAAAUUUUAUGCAUGCUGGAAUAUUAAUGUGCCAUAAACAAAUGUAAACAGUCCCAUUUUAAUU